This 1190-nucleotide unclassified non-coding RNA is filed under the name Drosophila pseudoobscura pseudoobscura. RNAcentral's name for it is "GA25536". The record is from RNAcentral. Lineage: Eukaryota; Metazoa; Arthropoda; Insecta; Diptera; Drosophilidae.
AACUAUAAGCUAAUAAAUAAAUAUUUUCCUCCAAAUUUCCUCAAAAAUAUAUUAAAUAUCCAAACGAAUGACCAUGAUAAUUGCAAUUACAUAUAUAAUAAGAACCAUCGCAAUAAAUGAACAAAUAAAAUAAACAGGCAACCAAUCGAAAAUGGUUGUGGUAUUUUAAUUAUGCGCUAAAGGACUCUCCUUACAAUAGUUAAUAUUUAUUUCCAGUGGACCUUUAUUGGGAAAAGUUGUCUUCCAGCUGAGGAGCUCCGCACCUAUACAAGAUUCUACAAUGGCGAGGGUCUCUAUAAAAACUGAGGGCGUGCUGCAGCGAUGUCCUAAGCAGGUUGUGGACCAAGGCCAAUGGCUACUUAAUUUGUACUUGAAGCUGCCUAUGUUGCGUCGACUGAUGCACAUCAACGGAGUCGCUAGAGCUGUUUCAGGUGUCGCCGAAUAUCUUGCACAUGUAGAACGCCGGACUCUUAUACCCUACGUUUUGCCACAAGCCGAGUCGUAUCCGAUUUCCCCCCGCCAGACGGAGUCCUAUCCAAACAUUACCGAGGCGUAUUCGAGACAGACCGAGUCCCAUCCCAGCCAGACUGAAUUGUGUUCCAGCAGGACAGAAGCGCACCCCUUACCCGAUUUGAACCCGGCCAUUUGACGCGAGUUUUUUUUGUACGGUGGCGCCCCAAUCGGCCCGUGCGACGGCUUCCUGUGAUCGGAAAAAUAUCCCUGAUUUGCUGGAGUCCUUAUCAAGGACCAAGGAACAAGGAAAUGUACUCCAGGCGUAUAAAUAUUGUUCUUGCCGUUAUUUUAGGCUCGAUCGGGACCUGCCAGGAACCCACGUGCUCAGAUAAAUAUCCUUGAUCCUUCGGUAAGGACAUCAACCGCCCCAACCAUACAUAUUUAUUUUUCCCGGCUUUUUGUGGCCCGAUCGGGACAUGCGUCAUCUUACUGUGUUUGGAACAGCACCCUUGAUCUAAUGCAGUCCGUAUCAAGGACCAAGGAUCAAGGAUAUUGUCCCCAGACCUAUAUAUCUUGUUUUCUCCUUUAUUUGUGGCCUGAUCGGGGAGUGCCACGGCUUCCCGUGAUCAGAUAUAUGUCCUUGAUUCUUUGAUAAGGACCUCAGCCAUACAUAUUUAGAUCUCGGCUAUUUGUGGACCGAUCUGGGCGUGCGAUGGCUUCCUGUGAUCGGAAAAGUG